Oreochromis aureus is the source of this 859-nucleotide long non-coding RNA. The record is from Ensembl. NCBI's taxonomy places the organism in Eukaryota, Metazoa, Chordata, Actinopteri, Cichliformes, Cichlidae.
GCACAGCUAGCGACACGGUGACUUUAUUCACCCGCUUCGGCUGUUAUCAGUCCAUACAAUGGGCGUUAUUAGCAGAAAUCAGUCCCAUAGAUAUGGGCCAUCUCCACCUGCUAGAUUGUUCAGAAGGUUGUUAUCAUCCAUCCAGAUGGAGGAUCACUAACAGGAGCGUGGAAGACUCCAGAAUCCACUCUGGCUGGAAUCCGGUGGAUACAGCAGUGUUACAGAAAAGAAGCAGACGUACUUCCAAGAGGGAGCUGCAGUGAGGACACAGCCUGGUCACUGAGGUCAGAGGAGGCGCUGAAAGGUUUCCCUAAUAGUUCCUGGUGAAUCAAAGCAGGACCAUAAAGGUUGCUGGACUGUAUGAUGGCUGUACAGUACAAUCCUACUGACACAGCAGAGGGAUAACGACGGUUAUUCAACAUCGUUACACGACACAUUCGAGCUGCAUGAUGCAGACAAAGUGACUAAAUCAUCUUUUUGUGGUUUAUUGUCUUCAAACCAGCAGACAAAGCCGAUGGCAGAAGAUGUUUGGAGAAGAACUUCAGGCCGUGUACUGACAAGUAGAUCAAAGCAGCUCGUGCUCUGUCUGCUUCCAUUCUGAUGGCAAGAAGAAGAAGAAGGAGAAGAAUGCUUCAGCGAAGUGGCGUUCAUGGUCUCAGUGGACAGUCAUGGUCACACACUGCAUGUGGUUUUAAAAGCAACAUGUCUGUUCACCACAACAAUGGAGAUGUGUAAUAUUAGUGCAGCUACGGUUUGUUCUUGAACAUCAGUUCUGUUUUCUACUUUGACCACUUAGACCAAAAAAAGUGUUGUUUUCAGAUUCUUUCUUAUAAAUCUGUAAAUCACCUGUUCAUUUUUU